Molecule: small RNA, 1430 nt
Filed under: Pongo abelii (Sumatran orangutan)
Lineage: Eukaryota; Metazoa; Chordata; Mammalia; Primates; Hominidae
Description: retained intron
Source: RNAcentral
GCGGGCGCUGUGGCUCCGGGACUGCGGAGAACAUAUUGUGAUGUUGGUGCCUCAGAGCUAAAACUAUGAGUGAAUUUCGGAUUCACCAUGACGUCAAUGAACUGCUUAGCCUGCUGCGUGUCCACGGAGGAGAUGGGGCUGAGGUCUACAUUGACCUGCUUCAAAAGAACAGGACCCCGUACGUCACUACCACUGUCUCUGCUCACAGUGCCAAGGUGAGCACUGCCCUGGGUGUAGCGCUGUGCAGGGUGAGCGCCGUUCCUGGGUCAGGGUGCAGGAUGAGCGCCGUUCCUGGGUCAGGGUGCAGGAUGAGCGCCGUUCCUGGGUCAGGGUGGUGCAGGGUGAGCCCACCCCUGGGUCAGGGUGCAGGAUGAGCGCCGUUCCUGGGUCAGGGUGGUGCAGGGUGAGUGCCAUUCCUGGGUCAGGGUGCAGGAUGAACACUGUUCCUGGGUCAGGGUGCAGGAUGAACACUGUUCCUGGGUCAGGAUGGUGCGGGGUGAACCCACCCCUCGGUCCAGGUGCAGGGUGAGCCCCGUCCCUGGGUCAGGGUGUAGGGUGAGCCCACCCCUGGGUCAGGGUACAUGAUGAGCACCGCCCCUGGGUCAGGGUGCAGGGUGAGCGCCGCCUCUGCUGCAGGGUGCAGGGUGAGCACCACCUCUGGCACAGGGCUGUGCAGGGUGCAGGGUGAGCGCCACCCCUGGUGCAGGGUGCAGGGUGAGUGCCGCCCCAGGGUCAGGAUGGUGCAGGGUGAGCGCCUCUGGUCCAGGGCUGUGCAGGGUGGAGGGUGAGCGCCACCCUGGGGUCAGGAUGGUGCAGGGUGAGCGCCACCCCUGUGCAGGGCUGUGUGCUGUGCAAGAUGCAGGGUGAGUGCCCAUUCCUGGGUGGCGUCAAUGGUACUGGCAACGGUGGCAGAGAGCACUUGGUCUGUGUGUGUGUUCAGCUCUGAUUCUGCUGACUCCUCCCAGCAGCUCCUGUGAUUCACCCCACUCUGCAGAUGAGUAAAUGGAGGCCUGUGGAGAAAGCUGGGCCUAGAACCUUACCUCUUCCCCACUCUGUCCCCUGCAGCCACGAGGCAGGAGAGUCCUGACAUGUGCAUUCCUGUGGACAGAAAGGGAGGGACUGGGCCAGGCACGGUGGCUCACACCUGUAAUCCCAGCACUUUGGGAGGCUGAGGCAGGUGGAUCACGAGGUCAGGAGAUCGAGACCAUCCUGGCUAACACAGUGAAACCCCGUCUCUACUAAAAAAUACAAAAAAUUAGCCGGGUGUGGUGGCGGGCACCUGUAGUCACAGCUACUCAGGAGGCUGAGGCAGGAGAAUGGCGUGAACCCGGGAGGCAGAGCUUGCAGUGAGCCGAGAUCGCGCCACUGCACUCCAGCCUGGGCGACGGAGUGAGACUCCAUCUCAAAAACAAAAAAAAGAAAAGAAAAAA